Molecule: transfer RNA, 71 nt
Filed under: Cordylochernes scorpioides
Lineage: Eukaryota; Metazoa; Arthropoda; Arachnida; Pseudoscorpiones; Chernetidae
Description: tRNA-Thr
Rfam family: tRNA
About the family: Transfer RNA (tRNA) molecules are approximately 80 nucleotides in length.
Source: RNAcentral
UCCAGGGUAGCCUAGUGGACAUGGCAUCUGCCCGGUAAGCGGAACACUGGGUUCGAUUCCCAUCCCUGGAC